CGAGAGUACGAGUCAUAACGAUGUCAUAACGGUCAGUUAGUCUUCGAAUUGCGCGCCAGCUGGGUGUCGAGGCACAAGUACUGGACCAAGACUGAGGUUGCCUCGCAUAGAAAACUUCUGACUCUCAUGCUCCAGCUGAAGAAGAGACGCUGACUGCUGAACUAGAAAGCAGUGGAGUGGAGAUUAGAGUUGCAUCACAUGGGAUACCAAGCCAUCUCUAUCACCGAACCACCAGUGAUGGAG
Priapulus caudatus is the source of this 243-nucleotide long non-coding RNA. RefSeq lists it as uncharacterized. Lineage: Eukaryota; Metazoa; Priapulida; Priapulimorpha; Priapulimorphida; Priapulidae. The record is from RefSeq and is a predicted model, not a curated record. The transcript has 3 exons.